RNAcentral lists this transfer RNA (86 nucleotides) under Candidatus Peribacteria bacterium. RNAcentral describes it as "tRNA-Leu". It matches the Rfam family "tRNA". Rfam says of the family: Transfer RNA (tRNA) molecules are approximately 80 nucleotides in length. Their secondary structure includes four short double-helical elements and three loops (D, anti-codon, and T loops). Further hydrogen bonds mediate the characteristic L-shaped molecular structure. tRNAs have two regions of fundamental functional importance: the anti-codon, which is responsible for specific mRNA codon recognition, and the 3' end, to which the tRNAs corresponding amino acid is attached (by aminoacyl-tRNA synthetases). tRNAs cope with the degeneracy of the genetic code in two manners: having more than one tRNA (with a specific anti-codon) for a particular amino acid; and 'wobble' base-pairing, i.e. permitting non-standard base-pairing at the 3rd anti-codon position. Lineage: Bacteria; Candidatus Peregrinibacteriota; Candidatus Peribacteria. The record is from RNAcentral.
GCCCGGGUGGUGGAAUUGGUAGACACGCAGGACUUAAAAUCCUGUUACCCUAGGUAGUGCGGGUUCGAUUCCCGCCCCGGGCACCA